UAGAGUUUGAUCCUGGCUCAGGAUGAACGCUAGCGGCAGGCUUAAUACAUGCAAGUCGAGGGGCAGCGGGGGUAGCAAUACCUGCCGGCGACCGGCAAACGGGUGCGGAACACGUACACAACUUUCCUUUAAGUGGGGGAUAGCCCAGAGAAAUUUGGAUUAAUACCCCGUAACAUUAUGUAGUGGCAUCAUUAUAUAAUUAAAGCUCCGGCGCUUGAAGAUGGGUGUGCGGCUGAUUAGGUAGUUGGCGGGGUAACGGCCCACCAAGCCUUCGAUCAGUAACUGGUGUGAGAGCACGACCAGUCACACGGGCACUGAGACACGGGCCCGACUCCUACGGGAGGCAGCAGUAAGGAAUAUUGGUCAAUGGACGCAAGUCUGAACCAGCCAUGCCGCGUGAAGGAUGAAGGUCCUCUGGAUUGUAAACUUCUUUUAUUUGGGAAGAAACCCAUUUUUUCUAGAGUGGUUGACGGUACCAGAUGAAUAAGCACCGGCUAACUCCGUGCCAGCAGCCGCGGUAAUACGGAGGGUGCAAGCGUUAUCCGGAUUCACUGGGUUUAAAGGGUGCGUAGGUGGGCAGUUAAGUCAGUGGUGAAAUCUCCGGGCUUAACCCGGAAACUGCCAUUGAUACUAUCUGUCUUGAAUACCGUGGAGGUGAGCGGAAUAUGUCAUGUAGCGGUGAAAUGCUUAGAUAUGACAUAGAACACCAAUUGCGAAGGCAGCUCACUACGCGAAUAUUGACACUGAGGCACGAAAGCGUGGGGAUCAAACAGGAUUAGAUACCCUGGUAGUCCACGCCCUAAACGAUGGAUACUCGACAUACGCGAUACACUGUGUGUGUCUGAGCGAAAGCAUUAGGUAUCCCGCCUGGGAAG
RNAcentral lists this ribosomal RNA (875 nucleotides) under uncultured bacterium. RNAcentral describes it as "bacterial SSU rRNA". It matches the Rfam family "Bacterial small subunit ribosomal RNA", at positions 1 to 880 of the family's 1533-position model. The record is from RNAcentral.